CCCCUCUCAGGGUCGCACCUGGAGAGUUUCCAGUACUCUACCAGUCUCAGCUACGGGAGGGAGAGUCAAGCAGAAGCAUACCCAUCCCAUUCCUAGCUUGGCCGUUGGCUAGCGAGUAGAAGGCAAUCUGCUAACAAG
This is a small nucleolar RNA of Tachyglossus aculeatus (Australian echidna), 138 nucleotides long. NCBI's taxonomy places the organism in Eukaryota, Metazoa, Chordata, Mammalia, Monotremata, Tachyglossidae. The record is from RefSeq and is a predicted model, not a curated record.